Molecule: long non-coding RNA, 1473 nt
Organism: Helianthus annuus (common sunflower)
Lineage: Eukaryota; Viridiplantae; Streptophyta; Magnoliopsida; Asterales; Asteraceae
Exons: 4
Source: RefSeq, a predicted model, not a curated record
AAUAGAGGUGGUGAUGGUAUCGCAACUGCCGCCAUCAUGGAUCUUGGUGAUACCUGCACCAGGGGAAACAAAUUUUGUACUGUGAAAACCAGCAAGCGUGACCCUAUGGAACCGUAGAACACGACCGUAGCCGUUGUUAGUUUGGGUGUGGAUUAUAUUAUUCUAACACGUGUAGAUCGCGAUGAUCUUCCCGACGAUGGGAAUGGUCAUUUCACAGAGACUGUUAGAGCAAUGAAGGUUGAUUGUAUACAUAUUCUACUGAUUUCUGCAUAUUAUAUAUAGUGGGCUGCGGAUAACUGAGGAUCAUGGCCUGCUCACCUAUGAACUGGUAAUGAUGAUGUGGCAACGAACGCGUAAGUGAAACAUGAGUGUAUGUUGCAUAGCUAACUUAAAAAUGACCAUAAAUUAAAGUCGUUUGAAAGAUUGAUCCUUCACAUGAAUGGUAAUAAAAUGGCGGCAAAACAUUAAGCAGACCAAGGACUGUUACCUAAAUAUGCAAUUUAGUGUUGUCUUUUCAGGUUCUUGGACAAUGCUCUUUCUUUCUCUAUUAAAAAUCAGAAUUUUGAUUGUUAUUAUUUUUUUGUCGUAGGGACAUCGACAAAAGAGUUGUUUCUUUACUAGAGAUACGACAAACAGUGGAGUAUAUGUAUAUGUAUAUAUAUAUGUAUAUAUAUAUAUAUAUAUAUAUAUAUAUAUAUAUAGCAGAUUUAAAGCUUCAUUCUCAAGUUAGUACUCAAGUAAGGUUGAAUGCAUUUGCCAACUAAAAAAUGGAAUUCUUUGAAGAGGAUUCAUGUCAAGGUGGCUAGGUGCGAAGGCGAUGCAAGAUGCAUCCUAGGUGCCCCAAACACAGCAAAGCGCAAGAAGCAUCUGAACCAGCAAAAAAAUAGUUUACACUAGCCAAAAAUGGACUGAAUUGGACUAAAGCAGGGCUGCACCGGCAACUGAAAUUUGAAAGUGACUACAACCCUGAGCUUUAAGCCAAUCCAUAUAUCCGUCAUCUUUAUUGCAUUGGCUGCAAGACGCUCAGCCACGGUGUCGUGUGGGAGGUCGGCACUGGCAGCGCUCAGGCCAUCACCUUAGUAAGGUAAUGUUCCCCUCACUGGUAUCGGUUUAUGUGUAACCGAGAUGAUUAUUAUAGUUAUUAUUACUUGAUUUAUGACUUACAUUUAAGUUUUUUUUUGUUAUAUGAAUAUUUGAAUUAUUAUUUAGGUCCUAUUUAGUUUUGUAAUGGAAUCAUAUUUGUUUUUUGUAGUUUGGGAGUAUGUACAGAAGUGUAAUUGGCACAAAUACAUGCAAUACUCUCAAAAGCUAACUCGAUGCUAAAGAAACAUUCAAGAUUGAAUCGUGCGUGUAAUAUACGUCGUUAAACUUAGAAGGGUUCAUUUUCGAUUAGGGUUUUUGGGUUGUUUGAUAGGCGCCGCAACGCGGCGCAGACUAAAACCUAGUUCUUUCUAAGAACAUUCACAACAAGAA